Molecule: long non-coding RNA, 1041 nt
Organism: Cercocebus atys (sooty mangabey)
Lineage: Eukaryota; Metazoa; Chordata; Mammalia; Primates; Cercopithecidae
Exons: 4
Source: RefSeq, a predicted model, not a curated record
CAGUGAGACAUAUUAACCAACAAAAUACUGGACUCAAACCUACAUAAAAAGCCCCUCCUCACUGUCCUUGUCCACUUUGUCGGGAGAUACGACGAAUUACCAUGGUGCAUAGUGGUGACUGUGACGGGAACGUCCCCAAGCCAAGAUUUGUCAGGAGUGUAGGGCAUGGCCAGCUGGCUUUGACUUCUAGCAGCACAUGUUAGAGCGUUUGACUGCAUUCUGUCUAAAAAGGACAUUUGUUACCCUUUAACCAAGUUUUUUUUCUUAAAGAGUGUUUUUAAUAUAAAACUAAAAUGCCAUGUGUUCUGAGUCCAGUGGAAUUCACAAGCACCUGUAGGAGUCUUAACUACAUUGGUAAAUGAUUUUUCAGUUGUCUAGCAUACCAUCUUCCUUCUGUGAUCUUAAGCCAAGACCAUAAAGGUUUUAAUUAAUAAUUCUCACCACGAAUCUUCCAGGUGUGUGCCAGUGAGGAUUACUUAACUGAAGCAAAUAAGGAUCAUCAUUUCCUACUCCAGUUUGUUAAAGAAAGAUAUGCACACAACAUCAUAUUUAACACUUCUGAAGAAACCAGAUAAAGAAAGUUAAUGAGUUAUAUUUAAUGAUGCAAUAAAAAGAAGAAAAGAACCUUGUCAAAUACUCAGCUUAUAAAUCAGACAAUACCUGGAAGCUGACCUGAAAUUAUAUUUAGUUAACACAUCAUGAGUGUGGUAAAGACUGUUGCCAGGCCUGCAAUAAAAUGAAGAAUUAGAAUGAAAAAAAAAAAAAAAAAAACCCUGAAAACUCAUGGUAUAAUGUAGUAAAAAUGGGGAGAAAUGUAAUAUUUUCCCUGCAAGAUUGGGAAUAAGACCAGGAUGUCCCUGUUCGCCAUUACAAUUCAACAUCUUGAUGUCCUAGCUAGCGCAAUGAUGAAAUACUAUGAAAUAAAGGCUUAUGAAAUGAACAAACAGAAAAAGAACUGUCUUUGUUUUUUGUCAAUUUACAAAAUCCCAAAGUAUUGAAAAAAAAGUUCUUCUGGAAGUGGUAAUUAUAGCAAAUUCAUAG